Long non-coding RNA from Dermochelys coriacea (leatherback sea turtle), 997 nucleotides. RefSeq lists it as uncharacterized. Lineage: Eukaryota; Metazoa; Chordata; Testudines; Dermochelyidae. The record is from RefSeq and is a predicted model, not a curated record. The transcript is spliced from 3 exons.
GGGGGCCCCGCCGCCGGCGGCGGCCCGGCGGGAGGCCAGAGGGGAGAGCGCCGCCGGGGGAGGCCGAUAGGGCUGGAAGCGCCGGAGAGGCGGCAGCGGCGGGGCCGCAGAGAUGCUGGCAGGCUGGAAGCUUCACCAGCCCUCCCAUGCAGUAGAAUUCUGGAUUAGCUUCUCUGCUGUCAAUGAUUUCUGGAAGGAAAAAAGAAAGAACAGGAAGAAACAGCAAGAGGUUUUUCUGGAUUAUAUGGAGGACAAUAUUCUUCCAAGCUGAAACUAUUACACAGGACGCAUGCCUAUUCUCCCUGCAAUCAUCAUUUGAUUUACAUGUAAUGCUACCCAGCUCAACCUCUAUUGCCAAGGCAUAUUUGAAAGGAUGAUUGUUUAACUGUCUAGUCGGUGUAUUUUGCACAACGCAGACCAAUGCUGAUGUUCACCUCCAUGAAGAAAGUCAGAGGGUUGAACACAGGAUUUCACUAAUAACUGCAAUACCUUUCUUGAAGUGACACUGGAGCACAGUUUGGCUCUACUACUUAAAAGGUAAAAAUAAAAAAGCCAAGAGGAUUUCCUGCCAUUCCGCUGCCAUUUUGAACCAGCUCCCAGCAGAGAGCUUAUUAAAAUCACAAAGGAGGGAUGAUUUAAGAUGUAUCUGAACUUCUCCCCAGAUGAGACAUUCAGGAAAAUCUUUGUUUUGGGCUUGGUAAGGGAGCAAGAGUGCCAGAAUUCCCCUGGGGAAGAGAUCAGGAGAGAAAUGGGUAGUUUUCCAGCUAGUCACCAAACCCUCUAAUGAAACACAUGGUACCACUUCUAAAUCUCAAGAAUUCCCUUCCCAACUAGCUGCAAAGCUCUUCCAACAGUUCACAAUCCUCUUUGUCAAUUCCCCUUCCUUCCUCCUCCCAAAUUGCAUUUUAGCUUCCAACAGCAGGUUACCCUAAUAGAAGAAACAUAGCCCAUGAUGUACAGCACCAAGUGGGUUCUUUAGAAAAAUGAACUCUAUCUU